RNAcentral lists this non-coding RNA (103 nucleotides) under human gut metagenome. RNAcentral describes it as "Moco (molybdenum cofactor) riboswitch". It matches the Rfam family "Molybdenum/Tungsten riboswitch aptamer (Moco RNA motif)", at positions 8 to 125 of the family's 135-position model. The record is from RNAcentral.
ACAAAAACUCCGAGCUGAAUGACCUAAAGCAAAGGCUAUGGUCAUUCAGCCGGGGUGCAGCCGGAAACAGCUGCGCCUUCCGUUUUGAAAAGGAGUCAAUUAU